RNAcentral lists this ribosomal RNA (446 nucleotides) under uncultured bacterium. Its description in RNAcentral is "partial 16S ribosomal RNA". It matches the Rfam family "Bacterial small subunit ribosomal RNA", at positions 338 to 795 of the family's 1533-position model. The record is from RNAcentral.
CCUACGGGUGACAGCAGUCGAGAAUCAUUCACAAUGGGGGAAACCCUGAUGGUGCGACGCCGCGUGGGGGAAUGAAGGUCUUCGGAUUGUAAACCCCUGUCAUGUGGGAGCAAAUUAAAAAGAUAGUACCACAAGAGGAAGAGACGGCUAACGCUGUGCCAGCAGCCGCGGUAAUACAGAGGUCGCAAGCGUUGUUCGGAAUCACUGGGCGUAAAGCGUGCGUAGGCUGUUUCGUAAGUCGUGUGUGAAAGGCGCGGGCUCAACCCGCGGACGGCACAUGAUACUGCGAGACUAGAGUAAUGGAGGGGGAACCGGAAUUCUCGGUGUAGCCGUGAAAUGCGUAGAUAUCGCGAGGAACCCUCGUGGCGAAGGCGGGUUCCUGGACAUUACCUGCCGCUGAGGCACGAAUGCCAGGGGAGCGAACUGGAUUAGAUACCCUAGUAGUC